Molecule: long non-coding RNA, 709 nt
Organism: Ictalurus punctatus (channel catfish)
Lineage: Eukaryota; Metazoa; Chordata; Actinopteri; Siluriformes; Ictaluridae
Source: Ensembl
CAAAGACGGGCAAGCCGGUUUUUCGGCCAUACGGGGUAAGAGGGUUAACACAACAUUGUUCAUCUGGAGCUUCCAGAAUCUGGUGGAUUGAAUACAUGCAGGAGACAUUCUUAAUGUUUUUUAUUUGCUUUGAAAUACUUGCUGAGCAAUAAUUCCUUUUGAGUUCGAAAUUUCAGCAGUGUGUGUAUGUUUUCCACAGAGAAGCCGAGUGUCAUGAUUGAAUGAGGAACGGUUCUUUAACCUGUUUGGCCUCAGGUUAUCCAGCACUGACUAUUUACUGGCAGCAGUGUGAGAAAAUGAACAACACCUGUGAUAGAAACAGAUCGUCUGUGGAGUUACAGUAUGAACAAUACACACUACAGCAACACGAUGAGUUCCAGUCCCACACAGUGCGGAGUGUGUUACUGACUCCCCUCAGCAACACCACGGUCAGGUGUGAAGCUGAGAACACUGCUGGAGUCGGGCGGAGCACAAUCAGCUUACCUCCUCUACUCUAUGUUUAUCAACCUCCACCUGAUGUCUGGACAUCUCAGAUGUUCCUCACCAUCAUCACAGCAACCUCAGUUAUAGCGACACUGCUCUUCAUUUUGCUGGGGGUUUGUGCGUACAGGUGUAAGCAGGUAAUUAUCAUUAUUAUUAUUAUUAUUAUUAUUAUUAUUUAAAUGAACCCUAUUCUACAGCUCUGUGGUCUGAUUGGUCAGUUGAGACA